Molecule: ribosomal RNA, 492 nt
Filed under: uncultured bacterium
Lineage: Bacteria
Description: partial 16S ribosomal RNA
Rfam family: Bacterial small subunit ribosomal RNA
Source: RNAcentral
AGUGAACGCUGGCGGUAGGCCUAACACAUGCAAGUCGAACGGCAGCACAGUAAGAGCUUGCUCUUACGGGUGGCGAGUGGCGGACGGGUGAGGGAUACAUCGGAAUCUACUUUUUCGUGGGGGAUAACGUAGGGAAACUUACGCUAAUACCGCAUACGACCUACGGGUGAAAGCAGGGGAUCUUCGGACCUUGCGCGAGUGAAUGAGCCGAUGUCGGAUUAGCUAGUUGGCGGGGUAAAGGCCCACCAAGGCGACGAUCCGUAGCUGGUCUGAGAGGAUGAUCAGCCACACUGGAACUGAGACACGGUCCAGACUCCUACGGGAGGCAGCAGUGGGGAAUAUUGGACAAUGGGCGCAAGCCUGAUCCAGCCAUACCGCGUGGGUGAAGAAGGCCUUCGGGUUGUAAAGCCCUUUUGUUGGGAAAGAAAAGCAGCAGGUUAAUACCCCGCUGUUCUGACGGUACCCAAAGAAUAAGCACCGGCUAACUUCGUG